Dipodomys ordii (Ord's kangaroo rat) is the source of this 72-nucleotide non-coding RNA. Lineage: Eukaryota; Metazoa; Chordata; Mammalia; Rodentia; Heteromyidae. The record is from Rfam.
GGGAAGGUGGCUCAGUGGUAGAGCGCUUGCCUUGCAUGCAUGAGGCCCUGGGAUUGAUUCCUCAGCACCCCA